CCAGAGGGUUGGGCGGCCGCGGGUGCGCAAGCACGCGAGGAAAGUCCGGGCUCCACGGAAACACGGUGCCGGGUAAUGCCCGGCGGGGGCGACCCCAGGGAAAGUGCCACAGAGAGCAGACCGCCCACUGGUCUUUCGGGACUAAGGGCAAGGGUGAAAGGGUGCGGCAAGAGCGCACCGCGCGACCGGUAACGGAAGCGGCAUGGUAAACCCCACCGGGAGCAAGACCGAAUAGGGGCGGCGCAUGGGCCUGGUUCCGGCCCGUCGCCCGGGUUGGUUGCUGGAGCGGCGGAGCAAUCCGUCGCCUAGAGGAAUGGUCGCACAUCGCCGUCCAGGGAUUCCCUGGGAAGCGAGGACAGAACCCGGCUUAUAGACCCUCUGGCAUU
Molecule: RNase P RNA, 386 nt
Filed under: Sphingomonas kyeonggiensis
Lineage: Bacteria; Pseudomonadati; Pseudomonadota; Alphaproteobacteria; Sphingomonadales; Sphingomonadaceae
Description: RNase P class A
Rfam family: Bacterial RNase P class A
About the family: Ribonuclease P (RNase P) is a ubiquitous endoribonuclease, found in archaea, bacteria and eukarya as well as chloroplasts and mitochondria. Its best characterised activity is the generation of mature 5'-ends of tRNAs by cleaving the 5'-leader elements of precursor-tRNAs.
Source: RNAcentral